UCAUCUCAACACUACUAAUUGGCUCUGUCUACUCUCAAUUUGUUAUACAGAAGAACAGCAUCACUGUUAUCUCCCCUGACCAUCUCCAUGCUUUGUACGAUUCUGCAAUCGGAAACUUUGGAAGUACAAAUCAAACAGGGACUAUAACAGGUUCCCUUGUUUACCCAACUAAUAAAGCCUCUAACUCCAAGGGUUGUAAGUCCUUUGAUGGUGAAAACACCUUCACCUCACCAUCUUCUCGUCCCACCAUUCUUCUUCUUGAUCGUGGAGAUUGUUACUUUACUUUGAAGGUAUGGAAUGGACAAAAGGCAGGAGCUUCAGCAGUUUUAGUAGCUGAUGAAGUAUAUGAGCCUUUAACAAGUGUGAAGAGCAGCAGCAAUGGAGGUGGAACAACA
Long non-coding RNA from Telopea speciosissima, 395 nucleotides. RefSeq lists it as uncharacterized. Lineage: Eukaryota; Viridiplantae; Streptophyta; Magnoliopsida; Proteales; Proteaceae. The record is from RefSeq and is a predicted model, not a curated record. The transcript is spliced from 2 exons.